UUGUUGAGCAUGUUACAGUCAUCAUUUUCUGCAUGUCUAACCAUCCUAGUAGACUGAACCCUUGGUGUGCAGGGACUAGUGCCUAGCAGACUAUACAUAUUUAAAUAUUAAGUUAAUAAAUGAGAUUCAAAUAAUUUAAGAGAAACUAAUAGAUGUCAACUAGGAAAACUAUUAAAGGAUAUUAACUUUAGUGAUACUAUACCAGGCACACACAAAAUAUCAUGUAUCUAUUGAAAAAUGGACGCUUAUCUACAAAAUUACACCAUCAGUGAGGAAAUAUAUGACUGAAGAAUACCAUUAAAGAACAAACAGAACUUACUGGAGGAGUUUUCUGAGACAGCUCUCUAUUCAACCUGUCAGUAAAACUCUGUAUUAGUGUGUUUCCUCCUGCCACUAUUACACUGCCAUAGAGACCCUAGGAUAAAAAUACAAGAAAAAUCAAUUAGUUCCAUAUGUUUCCAAAAGUUUUAAAUACAACUACAAAUAUAACCAUGUGCUCUACUACA
Molecule: non-coding RNA, 506 nt
Filed under: Pan troglodytes (chimpanzee)
Lineage: Eukaryota; Metazoa; Chordata; Mammalia; Primates; Hominidae
Source: RNAcentral